UGCAAGUCGAACGGUAGAGGGGGCAACCCCUUGAGAGUGGCGAACGGGUGAGUAAUAUAUCGGAACGUGCCCAGUCGUGGGGGAUAACGUAGUGAAAAUUACGCUAAUACCGCAUACGAUCUAAGGAUGAAAGCGGGGGAUCGCAAGACCUCGCGUGAUUGGAGCGGCCGAUAUCAGAUUAGGUAGUUGGUGGGGUAAAGGCCCACCAAGCCAACGAUCUGUAGCUGGUCUGAGAGGACGACCAGCCACACUGGAACUGAGACACGGUCCAGACUCCUACGGGAGGCAGCAGUGGGGAAUUUUGGACAAUGGGCGAAAGCCUGAUCCAGCCAUUCCGCGUGCAGGAUGAAGGCCCUCGGGUUGUAAACUGCUUUUGUACAGAACGAAAAGGUUUCUACUAAUACUAGGAGCUCAUGACGGUACUGUAAGAAUAAGCACCGGCUAACUACGUGCCAGCAGCCGCGGUAAUACGUAGGGUGCAAGCGUUAAUCGGAAUUACUGGGCGUAAAGCGUGCGCAGGCGGUUAUAUAAGUCAGAUGUGAAAUCCCCGGGCUCAACCUGGGAACUGCAUUUGAGACUGUAUAGCUAGAGUACGGUAGAGGGGGAUGGAAUUCCGCGUGUAGCAGUGAAAUGCGUAGAUAUGCGGAGGAACACCGAUGGCGAAUGCAAUCCCCUGGACCUGUACUGACGCUCAUGCACG
RNAcentral lists this ribosomal RNA (700 nucleotides) under uncultured beta proteobacterium. Its description in RNAcentral is "bacterial SSU rRNA". It matches the Rfam family "Bacterial small subunit ribosomal RNA", at positions 56 to 755 of the family's 1533-position model. Lineage: Bacteria; Pseudomonadati; Pseudomonadota; Betaproteobacteria. The record is from RNAcentral.